Molecule: ribosomal RNA, 199 nt
Filed under: uncultured Shewanella sp.
Lineage: Bacteria; Pseudomonadati; Pseudomonadota; Gammaproteobacteria; Alteromonadales; Shewanellaceae
Description: partial 16S ribosomal RNA
Rfam family: Bacterial small subunit ribosomal RNA
Source: RNAcentral
ACUCCUACGGGAGGCAGCAGUGGGGAAUAUUGCACAAUGGGGGAAACCCUGAUGCAGCCAUGCCGCGUGUGUGAAGAAGGCCUUCGGGUUGUAAAGCACUUUCAGUAGGGAGGAAAGGUAGCACCUUAAUACGUUGUUGCUGUGACGUUACCUACAGAAGAAGGACCGGCUAACUUCGUGCCAGCAGCCGCGGUAAUAC